GCUUCAUAUUGUUCAAAACAGAAAGAAAAGACACAAUCAUAAAAUAACAAUUUCGGUAAACAAUGCAUAGACAUUAUUAAUGAACACUUAAUUAACAUGGCAUAUUCAUUUGAUCUUUCCAAAGAGAUUAUGAAACCCAACGCAGUGAUCAUACUAUUUGCAAGCAAUUUCAUGAAACAUACAAUAGUAAAAGCAAAAUUAAUUAUUCUUAUCCACGAUACAAAAUAUUUCAGUUAUUCAGCUUCAGUUUCACAAACUAUAGCGUAGAAGGAAGAUAGUCUUAGCAACUUCAGACAGUGUUAUAAAUGUAAACGGUGCAAAUGGUACCUAGGUACACGUGUGUUGGACACAGAAGGACUGGUGGACUUCCUUUCUUGGUGACGUAUGGGCCGGGUGGGGGCCCCAACCCUUAGGUCCCCAUUCGGUCGGGUACUAACAUUGCUUUGCAGGUGUCGACUACGACAGUUCAUCGUUCACGGUGUGGUUAUUGAUUGUGCUAGCUUAGUGUAGAUCAGGAUUUGAAAAGGUGCACUGGAGAUAACUGAGGGAAAUAAGACUUUUUCUUAUUUUCUAAUGUUUCUUCAGAUGAACCAGUCUUGUAUACCACCAGUGACUAGGAUUUAAAUAUAGUAAUUAAUUAAUGCACACGAUACACACAAAUAAGUUGUCAAAAAAGCAGCAGCGACAGCAAGUGAUGAAAGCAAAGCGAAAAAAUAUUGUGCGAAGCGAGUAAAAAUGAGCGAAAACCGCAAAUGCAUCCGAUGUCUUGUAUAAAUGUAUUUCGAUAAAGACACAGAUUACCCAUACAGCUUACCUGUAUAAAUGUAUUUCGAUAAAGACACAGAUUAUCCAUACAGCUCACCUGAGCUGGUCUGAUCAACCUCGUUCCCAGGGCUUUUCCCUGACAAAAAGGGAAAAGCCCUGAGAACGAGGUUGCUGGUCUAAUGUCUGAGGGUUUUUCUCCGGGUUCUCCGGUUUCCCUCAAUUGUGAUAAACAUGAAUUUCUCAUGUUUUGAUAUUUCGAAUUAUACACCCUUAAUUUAUACGUGAU
Molecule: non-coding RNA, 1051 nt
Organism: Paramuricea clavata
Lineage: Eukaryota; Metazoa; Cnidaria; Anthozoa; Malacalcyonacea; Plexauridae
Source: the annotation of a GenBank genome assembly